UACGUAGGGGGCAAGCGUUGUCCGGAAUUAUUGGGCGUAAAGCGCGUGUAGGCGGCCAGAUAAGUCCGCUGUGAAAUCUCGAGGCUCAACUUCGAGCUGUCGGUGGAAACUGUCUGGCUAGAGUCCGGAAGAGGAGAAUGGAAUUCCUGGUGUAGCGGUGAAAUGCGUAGAGCUCGGGAAGAACAUCGGUGGCGAAAGCGCUCUACUGGACUGCAACUGACACUCAGGGACGAAAGCUAGGGGAGCGAAUGGG
RNAcentral lists this ribosomal RNA (253 nucleotides) under uncultured bacterium. RNAcentral's name for it is "partial 16S ribosomal RNA". It matches the Rfam family "Bacterial small subunit ribosomal RNA", at positions 524 to 776 of the family's 1533-position model. The record is from RNAcentral.